AACGAACGCUGGCGGCAUGCCUAACACAUGCAAGUCGAACGAGACCUUCGGGUCUAGUGGCGCACGGGUGCGUAACGCGUGGGAACCUGCCCUUAGGUUCGGAAUAACUCCCCGAAAGGGGUGCUAAUACCGGAUAAUGUCUUCGGACCAAAGAUUUAUCGCUUUUGGAUGGGCCCGCGUUGGAUUAGCUAGUUGGUAGGGUAAAAGCCUACCAAGGCGACGAUCCAUAGCUGGUCUGAGAGGAUGAUCAGCCACACUGGGACUGAGACACGGCCCAGACUCGUACGGAAGGCAGCAGUGGAGAAUAUUGGACAAUGGGGGAAAGCCUGAUCCAGCAGUGCCGCGGGAGUGAUGAAGGCCUUAGGGUUGUAAAGCUCUUUUACCCGGGGUGAUAAUGACAGUACCGGGAGAAUAAGCUCCGGCUAACUCCGUG
Molecule: ribosomal RNA, 433 nt
Filed under: uncultured bacterium
Lineage: Bacteria
Description: partial 16S ribosomal RNA
Rfam family: Bacterial small subunit ribosomal RNA
Source: RNAcentral